RNAcentral lists this ribosomal RNA (701 nucleotides) under Lysinibacillus sphaericus. Its description in RNAcentral is "partial 16S ribosomal RNA". The record is from RNAcentral. Lineage: Bacteria; Bacillati; Bacillota; Bacilli; Caryophanales; Bacillaceae.
UUUUUACUUUUAACCCGGCCCGGGGGUCCUUAGGAAAAGUUGACCCAAGGGCCAACCCUUUUUUGGCAACCCUGGGGACCCCUGGGCCCACCCUGUUUUCCCCCAAUGGGGGAAACGGGACCCCCUUUGACCCCGCCAAAACCUAAAAAAUUUGGGGUUUUCCCCCCCUUUUGGCCCCAAACCCAAUCCCAUUUUCAAAGUCUGGAAACCCUUUGUAACCAUUUCAAGGACAGCCUAAGGCCCACUUGGGGGCAUUUGCAAUUAUAACGCCCAAAAGGCUUCAGUUUUCCACCCGUUCCACGGGUACCCGGGUUCCAAAUGGCCAGUGAAGAAGCCAGAAUCAUCUGCGUUUACCUUGCAUAGAGUUUAAGUCGGAACCCUUGUUCCCUGGCCAAGUUGCCCUUUGGCUUUGCCAUUUGCAGAUCCCGCUGACCUCCGUAGAUUGGAACCGUCAAGCCAGACGUCGUCCCUUGUCAGCCAUGACGAAUCGUCGCGUUGUUAACUCGGUAACAUUGGCGAAUUCGAUAAGCCGUUUCAGUUUCGUAUAGUAGCAUGCUAAUCGCGUUUUGAAUAGUAACAUGAGGAUCAGGAUAGCAGGUAAGGUCCCAGGGGUUCCGGCUUUGUACAAAGGUGCACCACAGUUGUACCCGGAGUCGGUGAGGUAACCUCAGAAGCCCCUCUCGUGCUACUCGCUACAAACU